CCUACGGGGAGCAGCAGUCGAGAAUCAUUCACAAUGGGGGAAACCCUGAUGGUGCGACGCCGCGUGGGGGAAUGAAGGUCUUCGGAUUGUAAACCCCUGUCAUGUGGGAGCAAAUUAAAAAGAUAGUACCACAAGAGGAAGAGACGGCUAACUCUGUGCCAGCAGCCGCGGUAAUACAGAGGUCUCAAGCGUUGUUCGGAAUCACUGGGCGUAAAGCGUGCGUAGGCUGUUUCGUAAGUCGUGUGUGAAAGGCGCGGGCUCAACCCGCGGACGGCACAUGAUACUGCGAGACUAGAGUAAUGGAGGGGGAACCGGAAUUCUCGGUGUAGCAGUGAAAUGCGGAGAUAGCGAGAGGAACACUCGUGGCGAAGGCGGGUUCCUGGACAUUAACUGACGCUGAGGCACGAAGGCCAGGGGAGCGAAAGGGAUUAGAUACCCCAGUAGUC
Molecule: ribosomal RNA, 446 nt
Filed under: uncultured bacterium
Lineage: Bacteria
Description: partial 16S ribosomal RNA
Rfam family: Bacterial small subunit ribosomal RNA
Source: RNAcentral